GAGGGUACAGCUCAGUGGUAGAGUGCAUGCUUACUUAGCAUGCAUGAGGUCCCAGGUUCAAUCCCCAGUACCUCCA
This is a transfer RNA of Camelus ferus (Wild Bactrian camel), 76 nucleotides long. It matches the Rfam family "tRNA". Rfam says of the family: Transfer RNA (tRNA) molecules are approximately 80 nucleotides in length. Their secondary structure includes four short double-helical elements and three loops (D, anti-codon, and T loops). The record is from Rfam. Lineage: Eukaryota; Metazoa; Chordata; Mammalia; Artiodactyla; Camelidae.